Molecule: ribosomal RNA, 377 nt
Filed under: uncultured bacterium
Lineage: Bacteria
Description: bacterial SSU rRNA
Rfam family: Bacterial small subunit ribosomal RNA
Source: RNAcentral
UAAUACAGAGGGUGCAAGCGUUGUUCGGAAUUAUUGGGCGUAAAGCGCGUGUAGGCGGCUUGGCAAGUCGGGUGUGAAAGCCCUCAGCUCAACUGAGGAAGUGCGCCCGAAACUGCUUUGCUUGAGUGCUGGAGAGGGUCGCGGAAUUCCCGAAGUAGAGGUGAAAUUCGUAGAUAUCGGGAGGAACACCGGUGGCGAAGGCGGCGACCUGGACAGUAACUGACGCUGAGACGCGAAAGCGUGGGGAGCAAACAGGAUUAGAUACCCUGGUAGUCCACGCCGUAAACGAUGAGAACUAGGUGUCGUGGGUGUUGACCCCCGCGGUGCCGUAGCUAACGCAUUAAGUUCUCCGCCUGGGAAGUACGGCCGCAAGGCUA